This 388-nucleotide long non-coding RNA is filed under the name Olea europaea (common olive). RNAcentral's name for it is "long non-coding RNA (OEUR_LNC010421)". The record is from RNAcentral. Lineage: Eukaryota; Viridiplantae; Streptophyta; Magnoliopsida; Lamiales; Oleaceae.
GAUGACGAGCAGUAUGUGUGGGAGUCACAAGCUGGUGGUUCAUUCACUAUUACUAGAGACACUUCUGGUGAAAGCCUUGGACGGGGCACCAAGAUGACUCUCUUCCUCAAAGAAGACCAGCUUGAAUACCUUGAGGAGCGCAGGUUGAAGGAUUUGAUCAAGAAGCACUCUGAGUUCAUUAGCUACCCAAUCUCCCUUUGGGUUGAGAAGACCACUGAGAAGGAGAUCUCUGAUGAUGAGGAUGAGGAAGAUAAGAAAGACGAGGAAGGAAAGGUUGAGGAAGUCGAUGAAGAGAAGGAGAAGGCUGAAAAGAAAAAGAAGACAAUCAAAGAAGUGUCUCAUGAGUGGAAUUUGGUGAACAAGCAGAAACCCAUCUGGAUGAGAAAAC